UGCAUCGAUGAAGAACGCAGCGAAAUGCGAUAAUUAAUGUGAAUUGCAGAAUUCAGUGAAUCAUCGAGUCUUUGAACGCACAUUGCGCCCCCUGGUAUUCCGGGGGGCAUGCCUGUCCGAGCGUCAUUGCUGCCCUCAAGCACGGCUUGUGUGUUGGGCUUCCGUCCCUGGCAACGGGGACGGGCCCAAAAGGCAGUGGCGGCACCAUGUCUGGUCCUCGAGCGUAUGGGGCUUUGUCACCCGCUCCCGUAGGUCCAGCUGGCAGCUAGCCUCGCAACCAAUCUUUUUAACCAGGUUGACCUCGGAUCAGGUAGGGAUACCCGCUGAACUUAAGCAUAUCAAUAA
This 345-nucleotide ribosomal RNA is filed under the name Aspergillus cristatus. Its description in RNAcentral is "eukaryotic LSU rRNA". The stretch from base 1 to 126 matches the Rfam family "5.8S ribosomal RNA", at positions 29 to 154 of the family's 154-position model. Lineage: Eukaryota; Fungi; Ascomycota; Eurotiomycetes; Eurotiales; Aspergillaceae. The record is from RNAcentral.